RNAcentral lists this ribosomal RNA (465 nucleotides) under uncultured bacterium. Its description in RNAcentral is "partial 16S ribosomal RNA". It matches the Rfam family "Bacterial small subunit ribosomal RNA", at positions 28 to 507 of the family's 1533-position model. The record is from RNAcentral.
GACGAACGCUGGCGGCGUGCUUAACACAUGCAAGUCGUACGGUAAGGCCCUUUCGGGGGUACACGAGUGGCGAACGGGUGAGUAACACGUGAGUAACCUGCCCACAACUUUGGGAUAACGCUAGGAAACUGGUGCUAAUACUGGAUAUGUGCUCCUGCUGCAUGGUGGGGGUUGGAAAGCUCCGGCGGUUGUGGAUGGACUCGCGGCCUAUCAGCUUGUUGGUGGGGUAGUGGCCUACCAAGGCGGCGACGGGUAGCCGGCCUGAGAGGGUGACCGGCCACAUUGAGACUGAGAUACGGCCGAGACUCGUACGCGAGGCAGCAGGGGGGAAUAUUGCACGAUGGGCGCAAGCCUGAUGCAGCAGCGCCGCGGGCGGGAUGACGGCCUUCGGGUUGUAAACCGCUUUCAGCAGGGACGAAGCUUUUUGUGACGGUACCUGCAGAAGAAGCACCGGCUAACUACGUG